This 77-nucleotide transfer RNA is filed under the name Pseudomonas aeruginosa. RNAcentral describes it as "tRNA-Ile". It matches the Rfam family "tRNA". Rfam says of the family: Transfer RNA (tRNA) molecules are approximately 80 nucleotides in length. Lineage: Bacteria; Pseudomonadati; Pseudomonadota; Gammaproteobacteria; Pseudomonadales; Pseudomonadaceae. The record is from RNAcentral.
GGGCCUAUAGCUCAGUCGGUUAGAGCAGGGGACUCAUAAUCCUUUGGUCCACGGUUCGAGUCCGUGUGGGCCCACCA